This 163-nucleotide unclassified non-coding RNA is filed under the name uncultured Eurotiomycetes. RNAcentral's name for it is "sequence contains ITS2". The record is from RNAcentral. Lineage: Eukaryota; Fungi; Ascomycota; Eurotiomycetes.
UUUAUCUUCAAGCACGGCUUGUGUUGAGUAUUCUGGUUCUUCCAGAGGCUUGAAAUGCAGUGGCGAUGCCGAGAUUUGGGUGCUCGAGCGUAUGGGGCUUUGUCGCACGCUCUGGUGGCUCCCGGCUUGCAUUCUGUCCCAACUUUUAUAUGAUUUUUUGUCU